Molecule: long non-coding RNA, 520 nt
Filed under: Delphinapterus leucas (beluga whale)
Lineage: Eukaryota; Metazoa; Chordata; Mammalia; Artiodactyla; Monodontidae
Description: lncRNA (ENSDLEG00000004629.1)
Source: RNAcentral
GGAAACGAAGGUUAGUAAAAUAAAACAAAACAGGUCAUGGUUGUGAAGCAACCUGUCCUCAGUACCUAACUACAUGGAGCUGGUGUCGGCCUCUUUCCGAGAGGGGCUGUGUCCCUCCCUGAACGGGAUACUGAUAGUAAAGAGCUCCCCCACAUAAAGCAUCCUUUGCACCCUCCCAAUCGAUUCUUUCCCUUUUUGUUUUCUAGGAACAAGAGGAUUCAUCUGACUUAACUGGAGAUGGCUCCCUUCCCCAUUUAUUGUUCCAUUCCUAAAGCUUCCCUCCUACCGGGCUCAGUGAGAGCAGAUGGGAAGAGGCACCCACCUCAGAGGAGCUCUGUGAAAAAAUUACUGAGACACUAAGAUGCUGUGAAUUGGGAAAGUUUGGGAACCUCAAGAUUAGAGCUAUACAAACUGUCUCAAAGGGCAAAGGUGGAUUUUAAUGGCUUAAGCUCAAUGGUGAGUACAGAAAAGUGAUUCUAUUUAUUUUCCCCCAGACCAUUCAGGGCACUGCUCACAGUAG